Molecule: ribosomal RNA, 529 nt
Filed under: Fusarium sp. 4 IDEA_FITOPAT_D089
Lineage: Eukaryota; Fungi; Ascomycota; Sordariomycetes; Hypocreales; Nectriaceae
Description: eukaryotic LSU rRNA
Rfam family: 5.8S ribosomal RNA (bases 171-324)
Source: RNAcentral
GAACCUGCGGAGGGAUCAUUACCGAGUUUACAACUCCCAAACCCCUGUGAACAUACCUAUACGUUGCCUCGGCGGAUCAGCCCGCGCCCCGUAAAACGGGACGGCCCGCCCGAGGACCCCUAAACUCUGUUUUUAGUGGAACUUCUGAGUAAAACAAACAAAUAAAUCAAAACUUUCAACAACGGAUCUCUUGGUUCUGGCAUCGAUGAAGAACGCAGCAAAAUGCGAUAAGUAAUGUGAAUUGCAGAAUUCAGUGAAUCAUCGAAUCUUUGAACGCACAUUGCGCCCGCCAGUAUUCUGGCGGGCAUGCCUGUUCGAGCGUCAUUUCAACCCUCAAGCUCAGCUUGGUGUUGGGACUCGCGGUAACCCGCGUUCCCCAAAUCGAUUGGCGGUCACGUCGAGCUUCCAUAGCGUAGUAAUCAUACACCUCGUUACUGGUAAUCGUCGCGGCCACGCCGUUAAACCCCAACUUCUGAAUGUUGACCUCGGAUCAGGUAGGAAUACCCGCUGAACUUAAGCAUAUCAAUAA